UACGUAGGGGGCAAGCGUUAUCCGGAUUCACUGGGUGUAAAGGGAGCGUAGACGGCGACGCAAGUCUGGAGUGAAAGCCCGGGGCCCAACCCCGGGACUGCUCUGGAAACUGCGGCGCUGGAGUACGGGAGGGGCAGGCGGAAUUCCUGGUGUAGCGGUGAAAUGCGUAGAUAUCAGGAGGAACACCGGCGGCGAAGGCGGCCUGCUGGACUGUAACUGACGUUGAGGCUCGAAAGCGUGGGGAGCAAACAGG
Molecule: ribosomal RNA, 253 nt
Filed under: uncultured bacterium
Lineage: Bacteria
Description: partial 16S ribosomal RNA
Rfam family: Bacterial small subunit ribosomal RNA
Source: RNAcentral